AAGAAAGGAAAAAAGAAAAAGAAAAAGAAGAAGAAUAUGUAAACAUGCAGUUUCCUGUUUACAGAGGAGAAUGCUUCAGACGGAUCAUCAUGCUGUUCUUCACACAGUAAGACAAUUUCUUUAUCGCACGUCUCAUCAGUUUCUGAUAGUUGUGUGCGCACUCAGCAGAUGCUCCUAAAUGGUAUGUACAAGUUCAAAACAAAAUGGUGCUAAAAUUUUGCAUCAGAUAUGAUACAAUGUAUGGAUGAAGUUCCAAACUCCUGCAGG
This 267-nucleotide long non-coding RNA is filed under the name Ananas comosus (pineapple). RNAcentral's name for it is "long non-coding RNA (ACOM_LNC040343)". Lineage: Eukaryota; Viridiplantae; Streptophyta; Magnoliopsida; Poales; Bromeliaceae. The record is from RNAcentral.